UACGAAGGGGGCUAGCGUUGUUCGGAAUUACUGGGCGUAAAGCGCGCGUAGGCGGCCAUUCAAGUCAGGGGUGAAAGCCCAGAGCUCAACUCUGGAACUGCCCUUGAAACUGUAUGGCUUGAGUAUGAGAGAGGUGAGUGGAAUUCCCAGUGUAGAGGUGAAAUUCGUAGAUAUUGGGAAGAACACCGGUGGCGAAGGCGGCUCACUGGCUCAUUACUGACGCUCAGGCGCGACAGCGUGGGGAUCAAACAGG
RNAcentral lists this ribosomal RNA (253 nucleotides) under uncultured bacterium. RNAcentral describes it as "partial 16S ribosomal RNA". It matches the Rfam family "Bacterial small subunit ribosomal RNA", at positions 524 to 776 of the family's 1533-position model. The record is from RNAcentral.